AAAACUUUUCAGCUAGAGUAUGAUAGAGGAAAGCAGAAUUUCUAGUGUAGAGGUGAAAUUNGUAGAUAUUAGAAAGAAUACCAAUUGCGAAGGCAGCUUUCUGGAUCAUUACUGACACUGAGGAACGAAAGCAUGGGUAGCGAAGAGGAUUAGAUACCCUCGUAGUCCAUGCCGUAAACGAUGUGUGUUAGACGUUGGAAAUCUAUUUUCAGUGUCGCAGCGAAAGCGAUAAACACACCGCCUGGGGAGUACGACCGCAAGGUUAAAACUCAAAUGAAUUGACGGGGACCCGCACAAGUAGUGGAGCAUGUGGUUUAAUUCGAAGAUACGCGCAGAACCUUACCAACACUUGACAUGUUCGUCGCGACUUUAAGAGAUUAAAGUUUUCGGUUCGGCCGGACGAAACACAGGUGCUGCAUGGCUGUCGUCAGCUCGUGUCGUGAGAUGUUGGGUUAAGUCCCGCAACGAGCGCAACCCUCACUUUUAGUUGCCAUCAUUUAGUUGGGCACUCUGAAAGAACUGCCAGUGAUAAGCUGGAGGAAGGUGGGGAUGACGUCAAGUCCUCAUGGCCCUUACGUGUUGGGCUACACACGUGCUACAAUGGUAUCUACAACAGGAAGCAAAACCGCGAGGUUUAGCAAAUCCUUAAAAGAUACCUCAGUUCGGAUUGCACUCUGCAACUCGAGUGCAUGAAGCUGGAAUUACUAGUAAUCGUGGAUCAGCGUGCCACGGUGAAUGCGUUCCCGGGUCUUGUACACACCGCCCGUCACACCAUGGGAGUUGGUUCUACCUUAAGGCAAGGUUUAAAACCCUUGACCACGGUAUAGUCAGCGACUGGGGUGAAGUCGUAACAAGGUAACC
This 861-nucleotide ribosomal RNA is filed under the name uncultured marine microorganism. Its description in RNAcentral is "bacterial SSU rRNA". It matches the Rfam family "Bacterial small subunit ribosomal RNA", at positions 629 to 1501 of the family's 1533-position model. The record is from RNAcentral.